This is a long non-coding RNA of Oncorhynchus tshawytscha (Chinook salmon), 1235 nucleotides long. NCBI's taxonomy places the organism in Eukaryota, Metazoa, Chordata, Actinopteri, Salmoniformes, Salmonidae. The record is from Ensembl.
AAACGUUUUAAAAAGUCGCAUUAUUUAGGAAGCGUGCAAAGGCGAAUUGAGUUAUGCACACGCGCACCUCAAAGUAGGCGUUCCCUAACGGAAAUAUGCAGAUAAUGUAAAAUGUUGGUACUAAGAUCUCGACAUUAAAAACGUUAACAUUAAUGGCAUUUGUUGAAUUGCCUUAGAUUAAUUCUGACUAUUUUGGGGAAGUUGCUACAGCGUCUCAAAAUGGACAAGUACUACUAUUGCCGCUUUUUCUCGUUUCUCACGCGAAUGUAUUUUGUUAAGGGAGCAUGCGAGUGCACUCGUUCGGUUCGGUGUCAGCCCAACUGAACUGAAGCAUGCGAACGCCUGAGCUGAUCAGAAAACACUUGUAUGAGUGAUAGUAUGUUGGAUCAAUAGGAAAUUCAUCAGGGAUGUCUGCCGCUCUGCCUUAAUUUACCAGUGCCUUUACCCUGGGCUUUAAUCUAUAGCUGUGAGACUAGCAACAUCAGAAAAAAACACACACCAAAAUGACUGACUUUGUCUAUGGGAUAGAAAUUCUGCAUAAAAUGUAAAUGCUUUGGAAUGUUAUUUGUCAAUUCUUCUGGAGUUUUGACUCUUUCAAAACGAUACCGAGUGGUCUUCCAUUGCCUUUCUGUACGUGGUGAAAGUGGAAAUCCCGUAAUAUGACGGCACGUUGAACAUGUGCUUGCUACUUCACUACCCUGAGAAAACCCAUCUGCCGCGGUAUCGCACAUUCACGGCGCAGUAGCAUACUAUAUGCACACAGGAACUAGCCUUCCCCCUAUCCUGCUACGCGUGGAGAGGGAGACUGAGAGCGUUGCCUUUUAAUUAACAUCAGCAGCUGCUGACUCAGCAGUUUCUGAAAGCAAGAUGUCACCCCUCCAGCCUGCCUGGCCAGCAGCCAAUCCGUUUGGAGAAUCGAUUCCAUUUUAACAGUGUGCUGUGAAAUGGCCUGAUGUAUGGCUGGGGUUGUGUGUGUGUGUGUACAGAGGCCCUAGUGGAGUGUGUUUUCUGUUGUUUCCUUAACCUUUUUUUUGUAUGUGAAACGGAAGUUAGAAAUAAUAAAAAUGUGUUCAUACUUUUGCCUUAUUUGUCUUGAGAAAUGUUGGUUGGCAAUUCCCAUAACACUUCCACUUCCAGCUGCUGCCUUUGGCCAAGUGACGGUCAUUAAGUCUGAAAACUCUCAUGUUUACAAUGCCUAGCAGCAUACCAAAUGACACCUACAGAGGAGGAAAAUG